UACGUAGGGCGCAAGCGUUAUCCGGAAUUAUUGGGCGUAAAGAGCUCGUAGGCGGUUUGUCGCGUCUGCUGUGAAAGACCGGGGCUCAACUCCGGUUCUGCAGUGGGUACGGGCAGACUAGAGUGCAGUAGGGGAGACUGGAAUUCCUGGUGUAGCGGUGAAAUGCGCAGAUAUCAGGAGGAACACCGAUGGCGAAGGCAGGUCUCUGGGCUGUAACUGACGCUGAGGAGCGAAAGCAUGGGGAGCGAACAGGAUUAGAUACCCGUGUAGU
RNAcentral lists this ribosomal RNA (271 nucleotides) under uncultured bacterium. RNAcentral's name for it is "partial 16S ribosomal RNA". It matches the Rfam family "Bacterial small subunit ribosomal RNA", at positions 524 to 794 of the family's 1533-position model. The record is from RNAcentral.